UGGGAGAUCAAUUGCUAAUAGUAGAAAGCUUGCAUGGAUUUCUCUCAAGAGUAACAGACAGAAGGGGUCAUAUGAGUGCGGAUACUAUGUAAUGUAUUGGAUGACCCACAUUAUUCGCUUCCAUAUCACAAGAGGCUAGGAAACGAAAUUCAAGACUACUACACCAAUUCCUGAGAAGCCACUAUCAUACAUGAGGAUCGCUACUGCAUAAUAUUUAGUUAGAUUAUAUAAUAAUUUUUAGUUAUUAGAUUUAAAAUAGAUUUGAACAUGUU
Molecule: long non-coding RNA, 272 nt
Organism: Vigna radiata var. radiata (mung bean)
Lineage: Eukaryota; Viridiplantae; Streptophyta; Magnoliopsida; Fabales; Fabaceae
Exons: 3
Source: RefSeq, a predicted model, not a curated record